GCUCAGUUGGUUAAGUGUCUGAUUCUUGAUUUUGGCUCAGGUCAUUAUCUCAUGGUUCGUGGGUUCAAGCCCCACAUUGGGCU
RNAcentral lists this transfer RNA (83 nucleotides) under Felis catus (domestic cat). It matches the Rfam family "tRNA". From Rfam's summary of the family: Transfer RNA (tRNA) molecules are approximately 80 nucleotides in length. Their secondary structure includes four short double-helical elements and three loops (D, anti-codon, and T loops). Further hydrogen bonds mediate the characteristic L-shaped molecular structure. tRNAs have two regions of fundamental functional importance: the anti-codon, which is responsible for specific mRNA codon recognition, and the 3' end, to which the tRNAs corresponding amino acid is attached (by aminoacyl-tRNA synthetases). tRNAs cope with the degeneracy of the genetic code in two manners: having more than one tRNA (with a specific anti-codon) for a particular amino acid; and 'wobble' base-pairing, i.e. permitting non-standard base-pairing at the 3rd anti-codon position. Lineage: Eukaryota; Metazoa; Chordata; Mammalia; Carnivora; Felidae. The record is from Rfam by way of RNAcentral.